This 224-nucleotide long non-coding RNA is filed under the name Elaeis guineensis (African oil palm). RNAcentral's name for it is "long non-coding RNA (EGUI_LNC044940)". The record is from RNAcentral. Lineage: Eukaryota; Viridiplantae; Streptophyta; Magnoliopsida; Arecales; Arecaceae.
CACUAUUAUAGUUGUAACUUUAUAAACAUAACAACUAAUCAUGAUAUCUAAUCAUAUCUCUAAGAUAUGAAAUCAUAAUCAUACAACAUAGUUAUAACAUAGCAAUUUAAGCAUAUCAUAUGCAUGAAGUACUAAUAGCAUGCAUCAAUAUAAAAUACUCUUUUUAUGAUUCUUCUUCUUAGGACAUCGUAGUGGCACCCCUAUAUACCAUAAGAGUACCCCAU